Numida meleagris (helmeted guineafowl) is the source of this 2056-nucleotide long non-coding RNA. NCBI's taxonomy places the organism in Eukaryota, Metazoa, Chordata, Aves, Galliformes, Numididae. The record is from Ensembl.
CCAAAAGCAGAAGCAGUGCUCACCACACGGAGCAAUGCAUUGGGUGGAGAGCAUCCUAGCCAAAGGUGCCACAAAAUAAGAUUUACAAUGUGAUGGUUUAGCACUGUAAGAAGAGCUGAACUUAUCUGGUCCCCGGAUUUCCCAAGAGCUGCACGGGAGGUUCCUGUGCCAGGGGCUGCUGGGCUAGGCUGGAGCAGCGUCCUGCAGCAGAACCUCAGCAUCACACUCCACUUUGUUUUCUCUCUGUGGUAGCAGGUAUGACAUCCAUCUUUGGUGUCUGGAGCACAUUGCAAUCAGCUGCCUUGUGUUUUGGACCCGUCCGCUGAUAACAUGGUGGCCAAGGGGACAGCCAAGGUGCUCUCUUCCCAAUGUAUCCUCCAGUUUGUGCACACCAGGCUCCACCUCCAUCCACUCUGGAGAAUAGUCCCCUUGCUUAUCCCUCUCUGAAGACAGAGUCGAUCUGCCUGAUUCAUCCCUAUCUGGGCCCGCAAUCUCUAGCAAAAUAGCUCUGGGCCAUCUCCUCUGCAGCUGUGACACAAUUAUUGUUACCGGAGAUUGAAGCAAAACCUCCCUUUGCUCUCUGAGCACUGUAACCCUUUUUCAGCACUGCACCCUGUUCUGCAGCAGGAGGCCUGGAACAGCCCUCACCUUUUCCAAAUUUCUACCCCGGGGCUGAGGAUGUGAGGUCCCUCUCUUGGAUCUGCUUUGCCCUUUCUUAGAGGACUUCAUAUCCCAGUGCCUCUUCUCUUCUUGCUUCUUAAAGCAGUGGCCCAUGCUCGCCAAUGCAGAAUGUUAUGAUUUUUAAAGAUAUCCCAUUGCUGGAGUCCUGAGGCUCCUCCAGGCUUUGUGCUGAGUCUGUCCCGGAGACCUGCUGGUGCCCACGGAGGUGGGAGAAAUGGCUGAGCCUGCCUUCAGUUGAGCCUCCAUCAUCCCACAGAAACCGUAUCUUCCUCGAUCCCUUUGCCAAGAAUAAAGAGAACUGAUGACAUCUGCAGCUUUGCCAACACCUUCCUCAGCCCUCCGGGUCUCCGAGCAUCCAGGACAGCUAUUUUGCCAGGCUUUUGUGCAACCCUGUAAUGAAUCAAUGGGAUUGUGGAAGGAGGCAAAGCAGCAGGAACAGAAGGCAGCUGGUAUAUACAGCAGAGAAGAUUCAGAGGGAUCCCAUUUGGGUCCUAUGCAGUGAUGAGGUCCUGGAGACAAGGCUGGAGACAAUGCCAUGUUGUAUACUUGGUGGACCAUAAUGGGAAUUUCGAGAAGUGACCCCACCGAGCAAGCCAAGGCAGGGCCAACUGCUGAAACUGCAUUUUGGAGAUGAAUAGAGUCUCAUGUGUUGCAAAAGUUGAUGGAAGACUUCCUGCAAAGAGAGGACAACCCAGGAGCAGCCCCAUCUGUUGCCAAAUGGCCACACACGGAGUGUGACCUUGUCCCAUAAGAUAACAAGAUUUAUUCUGCGCUUUUUGAUAGGACAUCGAUUAAGGCUUCCAUGCUUGUGAGGGCGCCGGGGGUUCAAAGCGCCGAAAGGACAGCAUGGAACAAUGCAAGAUGAGGCUCCCUUGGCUUUGCCCAGAGAUUUAUGAAUGCUGUUUGUCAUAGAGCAGGAUUGAUACGAAUAUCCAACUGCUUGUGACCAGAAAGGCAGGCUCCAUCCAACCCGCUGCACAGCGAUGAACUCCAAACAAGCCUUGAGACCCCUGGCACAUCGGGAACCCAAACAGAGCGCGCUGCCAGCGCUGGGCCCUGCUCAGCUGGCUGCUGUCCCAGCACCAUGCCUCGUGCUGCUGGAGCGAUGAGUUCAUUGCACAACCGAGCUGGGGAUCCCACCGAGCCGGGAGGGUGUCUGUCUGUCUGUCUGCCUGUCUGUUGCCCUGACAGAUGGCCAGGGCCAGUUUUGAUACUCGUUCAAGAAAAAUAGCUGUUUUCAGUGGAUGCAGCCACACAUUCCUCAUGCUUUUGGGGUGAGAUCUUCAGCCAGGGCAACCCAACAGGACAUCACCGACGGUGCAGCGUAGUGCUGGCAGCACUCCCUGGGAAAUAAAGCACAGCCGCAGGUGUGACA